Diprion similis is the source of this 533-nucleotide long non-coding RNA. RefSeq lists it as uncharacterized. NCBI's taxonomy places the organism in Eukaryota, Metazoa, Arthropoda, Insecta, Hymenoptera, Diprionidae. The transcript has 2 exons. The record is from RefSeq and is a predicted model, not a curated record.
CGUUUCCAUGUAUGUUUGUAUGUGUAAUAUAUGUAAACACAUUAAUAUGCGUAUCCCUCUUGUUUUACUCCUCUCCGCAUAUAACAUGUAGCCGUUUGCGUGGGAGGCAGUGGUCCAGUAUAAUAAAACAAGAUGCAAACAUCUGACAUAAGACUUUCACCCCUGAGGGCCCUUCGAUUAUCAGGCUUGUAGACUACGAUCACGCGUUACGUUCGUAAUUCUUCUAUACCUAAUCUAUUAUCCAAUCCCUGUAUAAUUAUGUAACGAAAAUAAAAGACAGGGAAGUGGAAGCCGGUUGAACUUUGCGUUUCUGAAGCAGGCUAUAAGGCUAAGAGCUGCGGUCUUAGUACUGUUAAAAUAGACUCGUGGGAAUGGACUUGCAGGCGUAGACGCACCUCUCGAUCGUCGAAGAAAAUGCAAACACUGCAAUUCGUUACACUUAUAGAUCCAAUAAGAAAGAGAAAAUUGCAAUAGCCUGCAAGUCCGCCGAUUCACACUCUCCUUUAACGGCACCACGUGACAUCACGAUGUGU